RNAcentral lists this ribosomal RNA (253 nucleotides) under uncultured bacterium. Its description in RNAcentral is "partial 16S ribosomal RNA". It matches the Rfam family "Bacterial small subunit ribosomal RNA", at positions 524 to 776 of the family's 1533-position model. The record is from RNAcentral.
UACGUAGGGUGCGAGCGUUAAUCGGAAUUACUGGGCGUAAAGCGUGCGCAGGCGGUCUGUUAAGACAGAUGUGAAAUCCCCGGGCUUAACCUGGGAACUGCAUUUGUGACUGGCAGGCUAGAGUAUGGCAGAGGGGGGUAGAAUUCCACGUGUAGCAGUGAAAUGCGUAGAUAUCAGGAGGAAUACCGAUGGCGAAGGCAGGUCUCUGGGCUGAUACUGACGCUCAUGCACGAAAGCGUGGGGAGCAAACAGG